AUCUCUGUAGCCCCAGUGCCUCAUAUAGGACUGGCACAUUUGGGAGGCACAGAUUGAGUGGUACAAGGGACAGAAAGAGAGAUUAGGACAGCAUAUUUUAAAACCAGGAUCUUCAAGCUCUCCGGAAUACUGAAGAUGUAGAAGAAAGUCAUGUGACUAAGCAAUUGUGGGAAUUGAGAGAACUCAGUUCAAACACUGUCUCUUUCCUGCUAUACUUUAGCUGUGUGGCCUGGCUAAAUCACUCAUCUCUAUGCCUCAGUUUCCUCUUCUUUAUGACCCCCUCACAGGAUUGGCUGCCAUCAUCUAGCAAGUGAGCCAUCAGAGGAAGCAUUCCAGAAGUGAAAAGCAUUGUUGUUAAUAUUAUUAUUACUUUUGUGCCUAGAGAGCAUCAGCAUCACUUGGAGGGCUUGUUAAACACAGAUAUCACUGGGCCCCAGCCCAGAAUUUCUGACUCAGUAGGUUUGGGUUACUAGGGUCCAAGAAUUUGCAUCUCGAACAAGAUCCAACAGAAGGCAGUGAAGAGGAGCAAUGAAGUAAAGGAAGAAAGACAACAAAAGCUUGAAAAUUCUAGCUCAGAGCUUCCUCGCCUGUAUGUCAUGGCUGGAGAUGUGGGUGCCCAGAAAUUGAUCCCUCAUGCCUUAGCAGGAUCCUGAAGACAGCUGCCCAGGUUGUGCACACAGAAUAAGGGCAUCAUUCUGCUUCAAGGGAAAAAUGGGGCUGAAAUCCCCAGACCAGAUGCCUUUUCCUAAUAUACCUAUGGUCUAGUUCUUAAGGGGGUUUGGCCCGGUGGGGAAAACUGGGAUAUCUUAUCUAUCGCCGCUGGCCUUGAUCAAACUGUUUACCCCAGGCUACCACACCCGCAUGUUCAUUCUCUACAUAUGCUACGGCUUGAAAACAUUUGGGAAGCUUUACUCUAAAGUUUCACUGUCCACGUGAAAGACAAACAUGUUAUCAUAUCCCCUAUAUGUGGCAUCUUUAAAAAAAAAAAAAAAGGAUACAAAUGAACUUAUUUGCAGAACAGAAACAGACUCACAGACUUUGAAAAACUUAUGAUUACCCAAGGAGUCAGGUAGGGGGCCUGGGAAGGAUGGACUGGGGCUUUGGGAUUGGCAUAUGCACACUGAGGUAUGUGGAAAAAUUGGCCAACGAGGACCUGCCGUAUAGCGCAGUAAACUCUACCCAGUAUUCUGUGGCAAUCCAUGGGGGAAAAGAAUCUGAGAGAGAAUGGAUGUGUGUAUACGUGGGACAGGGUCCCUUUUUUGUACAGCAAAAAUCAUCACAGCCUUGCAACGUAACUGUACUUCAAUAAAACUUAAAAAAUAAAAAGGAAAGCUGCACUGUCCAAUUAGUUUGCCACUAGAAACAUGUGUCUAGUACAAAAUGAGAUGUGCCAUAAAUAUAAAAUGUGUACCAGAUUGCAAAAAUUUAGAACAAAAAUAAGAAACUCAUUAAUAAUUUGUUUUAUAUUGACUACAUGCUGAAAUGUUAAUAUUUUGAAUAUAUUACAUAUGCUACCAAAAUUAUUUGCAUUUCUUUCUUUUUGCUGUUUAAAAAAAUAAUUAUAGCUCUCUUUUAUGUUUUGUUUUAUUUUAUUUUAUUUUAUUUUAUUUUAUUUUAUUUUCACCAGAGCAUGUAGCAGCUUUGACAUGGUUUCUCAGUUCCCAGACCAGAGAUUGAACCUAGGCUAUAGCAACAACAGCACUAAAUCCUGACCACUAGACCACCAGGGAACGCCCUCUUUUUACUUUUUAAUGUGACUAUUAGAAAAUUUAAAAUUGCACAUGAGGCUCCCAUUAUAUGUGUGGACAGUGCUGUCCUAGAAAGAAAGUUAACAUUUUGCAGAAAUUGUAGGUGGUUUCAUCUGUCUGCAAGAGUGGAGUGUGUGUGUGUGUGUGUGUGUGUGUGUGUAGUCAGGCCACUGAAGGGAGGCUGAGCAGUCCCAGCGGUAGGCUAAGUACUUCAACUUGACCCUGUAGGAGACAGCAAUUCAGAAGCUGUGAGAGGCAGAAUGACCUGAUUAGACUGUUUAGAAUGACACCUGGAAGCAGAGUAGAGGAGGGACUGACCGAGAGGUCUCACAAAAAACAAAAGCUCUGAGAAGCAGUGCAGUGGAACUGAAAGAGGAGCCAGCCAGAGGUCAGUCACAUGGCCCAAGUUCACACAGCUCAAGUUCACAUCAGAUAUGUUCAGGCUCAGGCCAUCCUAGUGAUUAAGAGAAUGGGCUUGGGAGUUCCUGCUGUGGCUCAGCCAUUACAAACCCAACUAGUAUCCAUGAGGAUGCGGGUUCGAUCCCUAACCUCACUCAGUGGGUUAAGGAUCCAGCGUUGCCAUGAGCUGUGGUGUAGGUCACAGAUGCAGCUGGGAUCCAGCAUUGCUGUGGCUGUGGCUGCUGCAGCUCCAAUUCGACCCCUAGCCUGGGAACCUCCAUAUGCCGCGGGUGUGACCCUGAAAAGCAAAAAAGGGAGAGAGAGGAAAUGGGCUUUGGCACCAGACUGCUCCAUUUGAAUCCUAGCCCUUCCAUUUAAGGUCACCUGUUUUCAUUAACUUUGCCGCAUCUCAGUUUAUUCAUCUGGGGAUGAAUGGGGAUCUGUUAUCAUCACGUUGUUAUGAGCCAUAAAUGUGUUCAGAGAAAGGAAGCGCUUAAAACAUGUCUAUUUGGCCUUGCUUGGUCACAUGCUCCUUUCUUAUUUUGCCAGGGGGAUGUGAUUUUGUGAUUGGACGAGGCUGGGUCUCGUGCCCAGCCCAGGUGGACAGACAGCUGGGUCUGUUACCCCAGGAAGGGGGCGAGGCGGGGGAAUGUGCCAGCACAUACAAACAGCAGCUGCCCUGUCUUCUCCACCCUCCUGGCUCCAUGACCUUGGACAAGUGACUCAAUGGAUAAGGAGCCCAACUUCCACUUCAGUAACACCUUCCU
Molecule: long non-coding RNA, 2914 nt
Filed under: Sus scrofa (pig)
Lineage: Eukaryota; Metazoa; Chordata; Mammalia; Artiodactyla; Suidae
Description: lncRNA (ENSSSCG00015068428.1)
Source: RNAcentral